Drosophila teissieri is the source of this 724-nucleotide long non-coding RNA. RefSeq lists it as uncharacterized. Lineage: Eukaryota; Metazoa; Arthropoda; Insecta; Diptera; Drosophilidae. The transcript has 3 exons. The record is from RefSeq and is a predicted model, not a curated record.
GAGACAAACUUUAUUUGGUUCAUAAAUAAAUUGUAACAGCAGGCAUUUGUUUUUGAGGUGAAGAUACACGAGCCGAACGCAAUAAAGCAAGAAGACUAAAGCAUCAUAAUAUUAUCGACAUGCUUUCCAUCGAAUCCACUUGAUUUGUGGAAUAAAUAUAAAGGUUUAAUGGCCGAAGACUUUUUAAAUCGAAUGCGUCAGCAUACCAGAAAUCACGAUUUGCUGAUCUCAUUGGAAAUGUAUAACGAGGCAUUGAUAUCGAUUGAAGAUAUGUGCCAUGCGAAGGCAAAUAAAGCAUUAGGUCAAUUAGGUAUGCCUUCACCGAAUCGUCCAAUGCAUGAUUUGUUUGAUCGAGAAUUGCAACGUGAACAACAGUACAAUAUCAAUGAAUUGCAAACAUUUGUGAAUUGGAAUUUACCCAAAUUGAACGACCAACAAAAACAUGUUUACGAUAAUAUUAUGCAAGCAGUACUAAAUGAUGUUGGUGGAUUGUAUUUUUUGGAUGCGCCUGGAGGUACGGGUAACACAUUUGUGGUAUCAUUGAUUUUGACAGCCAUUCGGUCACAACAAAAAAUUGCAUUGGCACUUGCUUCGUCAGGAAUUGCUGCUACUUUAUUGGAUGGUGGUCGAACAGCACACUCAGCAUUAAAAUUUCCGUUAAAUGUGCAGGUGAUUGACAAUCCCACAUGCAACAUAUCAAGAAAUUCUGCAAUGGCAAAAGUUU